AUUGAACGCUGGCGGCAUGCUUUACACAUGCAAGUCGAACGGUAACAGGCCGCAAGGUGCUGACGAGUGGCGAACGGGUGCGUAAUGCAUCGGAACGUGCUCAGUCGUGGGGGAUAACUACUCGAAAGAGUAGCUAAUACCGCAUACGAUCUAUGGAUGAAAGCGGGGGACCGUAAGGCCUCGCGCGAUUGGAGCGGCCGAUGUCAGAUUAGGUAGUUGGUGGGGUAAAGGCUCACCAAGCCAACGAUCUGUAGCUGGUCUGAGAGGACGACCAGCCACACUGGGACUGAGACACGGCCCAGACUCCUACGGGAGGCAGCAGUGGGGAAUUUUGGACAAUGGGCGCAAGCCUGAUCCAGCAAUGCCGCGUGCAGGAAGAAGGCCUUCGGGUUGUAAACUGCUUUUGUACGGAACGAAACGGCUCUGGUUAAUACCCGGGGCUAAUGACGGUACCGUAAGAAUAAGCACCGGCUAACUACGUG
RNAcentral lists this ribosomal RNA (482 nucleotides) under uncultured bacterium. Its description in RNAcentral is "partial 16S ribosomal RNA". It matches the Rfam family "Bacterial small subunit ribosomal RNA", at positions 30 to 507 of the family's 1533-position model. The record is from RNAcentral.